This 859-nucleotide ribosomal RNA is filed under the name Pseudophialophora panicorum. RNAcentral describes it as "eukaryotic LSU rRNA". It matches the Rfam family "Eukaryotic large subunit ribosomal RNA", at positions 73 to 962 of the family's 3401-position model. Lineage: Eukaryota; Fungi; Ascomycota; Sordariomycetes; Magnaporthales; Magnaporthaceae. The record is from RNAcentral.
GAUUGCCCCAGUAACGGCGAGUGAAGCGGCAACAGCUCAAAUUUGAAAUCUGGCCCUAGGCCCGAGUUGUAAUUUGUAGAGGAUGCUUUUGGUGACGCGCCUACCGAGUCCCCUGGAAUGGGGCGCCACAGAGGGUGAGAGCCCCGUAUGGUUUGCCGCCGAGCCUCUGUAAAGCUCCUUCGACGAGUCGAGUAGUUUGGGAAUGCUGCUCUAAAUGGGAGGUAAAUUUCUUCUAAAGCUAAAUACCGGCCAGAGACCGAUAGCGCACAAGUAGAGUGAUCGAAAGAUGAAAAGCACUUUGAAAAGAGGGUUAAAUAGCACGUGAAAUUGUUGAAAGGGAAGCGCUUGUGACCAGACUCGCGCUGGGCGGAUCAUCUAGCGUUCUCGCUGGUGCACUCCGCCCGGCUCGGGCCAGCAUCGGUUUUCGCCGGGGGACAAAAGCCUCGGGAACGUGGCCCCCUUCGGGGGGUGUUAUAGCCCGUGGCAGAAUACCCCGGCGGGGACCGAGGACCGCGCUUCGGCAAGGAUGCUGGCGUAAUGGUCACCAGCGACCCGUCUUGAAACACGGACCGAGGAGUCAAGCAUUAGUGCGAGUGUUUGGGUGUAAAACCCGCACGCGUAAUGAAAGUGAACGUAGGUGAGAGCUUCGGCGCAUCAUCGACCGAUCCUGAAGUUUACGGAUGGAUUUGAGUAGGAGCAUUAACGCUUGGACCCGAAAGAUGGUGAACUAUACUUGAAUAGGGUGAAGCCAGAGGAAACUCUGGUGGAGGCUCGCAGCGGUUCUGACGUGCAAAUCGAUCGUCAAAUUUGAGUAUAGGGGCGAAAGACUAAUCGAACCAUCUAGUAGCUGGUUACCGCC